AUUGAACGCUGGCGGCAGGCCUAACACAUGCAAGUCGAACGGUAACAGGAAGCAGCUUGCUGCUUUGCUGGCGAGUGGCGGACGGGUGAGUAAUGUCUGGGAAACUUCCCGAUGGAGGGGGAUAACUACUGGAAACGGUAGCUAAUACCGCAUAACGUCGCAAGACCAAAGAGGGGGACCUUAGGGCCUCUUGCCAUCGGCUGUGCCCAGAUGGGAUUAGCUAGUAGGUGGGGUAAAGGCUCACCUAGGCGACGAUCCCUAGCUGGUCUGAGAGGAUGACCAGCCACACUGGAACUGAGACACGGUCCAGACUCCUACGGGAGGCAGCAGUGGGGAAUAUUGGACAAUGGGCGAAAGCCUGAUGCAGCCAUGCCGCGUGUAUGAAGAAGGCCUUCGGGUUGUAAAGUACUUUCAGCGGGGAGGAAGGGAGUAAAGUUAAUACCUUUGCUCAUUGACGUUACCCGCAGAAGAAGCACCGGCUAACUCCGUG
Molecule: ribosomal RNA, 490 nt
Filed under: uncultured bacterium
Lineage: Bacteria
Description: partial 16S ribosomal RNA
Rfam family: Bacterial small subunit ribosomal RNA
Source: RNAcentral